This 463-nucleotide ribosomal RNA is filed under the name uncultured bacterium. Its description in RNAcentral is "partial 16S ribosomal RNA". It matches the Rfam family "Bacterial small subunit ribosomal RNA", at positions 28 to 507 of the family's 1533-position model. The record is from RNAcentral.
GAUGAACGCUGGCAGCGUGCUUAACACAUGCAAGUCUAUCGCAAAGCCUCCCGUCCACAGCCUUCCCCAAGUGGCCGAGUGUUUAAUGCCUCAUGAACUUUCCCCCCUGUCCGUCGUGAUAAACGUGGAAGACUGAUUCUACUACCUGAUAUCACACGCUCUUAUGUGCAGUCUGAUAAAAAGAGAGGCUGAUGGGGAGACCUGCGUCCCAUUCGCCUGUUGGUGGGGUAACGGGCCACCAAGGCGAUCAACGGUAACCGGCCUGAGAGGGUGGACGGCCACAAGGGGACAGAGAUACGGCACUUACUCCUACGGGAGGCAGCAGUGGGGAAUAUUGGAAAAUGGGGGCAACCCUGAUACAGCAAUUCUGUGUGCACGAUGAAGGUUUUCGGAUUGUAAAGUGCUUGCAGCAGGGAAGAAAAAAAUGACGGUACCUGCAGAAGAAGCGACGGCUAAAUACGUG